RNAcentral lists this ribosomal RNA (120 nucleotides) under Thermothielavioides terrestris NRRL 8126. Lineage: Eukaryota; Fungi; Ascomycota; Sordariomycetes; Sordariales; Chaetomiaceae. The record is from RNAcentral.
ACAUACGACCACACCCGCUAGGCAACUCGGGAUCCCGUCCGCUCUCCCAUCGAUAAGCUAGCGAGGGCCAGAUUAGUAGUUGGGUCGGUGACGACCAGCGAAUCCCUGGUGUUGUAUGUU